This 494-nucleotide ribosomal RNA is filed under the name uncultured bacterium. Its description in RNAcentral is "partial 16S ribosomal RNA". It matches the Rfam family "Bacterial small subunit ribosomal RNA", at positions 28 to 507 of the family's 1533-position model. The record is from RNAcentral.
GACGAACGCUGGCGGCGUGCUUAACACAUGCAAGUCGAACGGUGAAGCGCCUUCCUUUUUGGUGGGUGUGGAUGAGUGGCGAACGGGUGAGUAACACGUGAGUAACCUGCCCCCUUCUUCUGGAUAACCGCAUGAAAGUGUGGCUAAUACGGGAUAUUCUGGGUCUGUCGCAUGAUGGGUCUGGGAAAGAUAUUGUUUCGGUGGGGGAUGGGCUCGCGGCCUAUCAGCUAGUUGGUGGGGUGAUGGCCUACCAAGGCGGUGACGGGUAGCCGGCCUGAGAGGGUGGACGGUCACACUGGGACUGAGACACGGCCCAGACUCCUACGGGAGGCAGCAGUGGGGAAUAUUGCACAAUGGGCGCAAGCCUGAUGCAGCGACGCCGCGUGAGGGAUGGAGGCCUUCGGGUUGUGAACCUCUUUCGCCAGUGAAGCAGGCCUGCCUCGUUUGUGGGUGGGUUGACGGUAGCUGGAUAAGAAGCGCCGGCUAACUACGUG